Molecule: long non-coding RNA, 2422 nt
Organism: Eriocheir sinensis (Chinese mitten crab)
Lineage: Eukaryota; Metazoa; Arthropoda; Malacostraca; Decapoda; Varunidae
Exons: 3
Source: RefSeq, a predicted model, not a curated record
AUAUUACUGAAGUUAUAGUCAGAUUUAGUUAUGAAAGAUUUCUGUGCUUAAGAAAAUAGAACUUCUCUGCCUCCUCUGCUGUAAGAAAAGAAAAUCAUAUCUUUUUGUAUUUUUCCUUAGCACUGAAGAUUCCUUUCAUCCGCUAGGUUCCUUUGACACAUGUUUAUCCAAUGUUUAUUCACAAGGAAACAUACUCUUGGUAGCUUACCUACAAGAAUAUCGGUUUCUUCAGCCUUUUUUCAUCCUUCCCAUUUUGUAUUGACUAUCUCGGCCUCUUGGCUUCAUAAUAUUAAAAUAUCUAUCUUAGCUAUAUGAGAUUCCAGAGACAGUCAAUUCAGACUAUGUGUAACUGUAGGAAGUUGGGUCAUUGAUAUAUUUUAAGGAUGAAUCAUAACCAAUUAACCCUAAAGCGAUGACCGUAACGAUUUCGUUACGUUUGAAGUAAAUGGACGGCAUGUUAAGACCGUAGACCUUAUCAGCUCACCACCGGGUGCUACGGGAUCCUUACGCUCUGCUGAGUGCUCCUGUCACUGGCAACGCAGUUUAUAAAUGGCAUUUGGCAUUUUGGUUACUCUCUUUGUCAGAGAGGGGUGAUGUGUCGAUGUGUGCACAUGUGUGCAGAUUAUUUCUUCCAUUUCUCUCACUCAUUGUAAAGUAUUUUGCUUCAAAUAAUUUGUCGCAGUUGCCAAAUCUUUGGUGAAAAUAAAGGUAUAAAAGCAGUAAAUCAUUCGCAUUUCUAAAGUCGCAUUUAGGUUAGCUAUUCAAACAUAACUUUUUAGUUGAUUUCGGCCUUCACAAGUAAAAAUACAUGUUAUGCAAAAUUGGAUUCCAUUCAAUUUCACAGCAUACAGAACACUUUGGAGCGCAAUUCCGUGAGUCAGGAUGAUGGCAAGGAUCUCAAGCAGUCAGAUGAUGAUUUUUAUGAGGAUGCACCUGAUUAUGGAACACAGUGGCGGAUCCAGCUCCAGGAGGAACACACACACACCCCUGGCAGGAGCUUGGAAGCUAGCGGGAGAAGAAGACACCAAAAUGAUGUGGCUGAGGAAAGAUCUGAAUGAACAAGAGAGAGACAAGUUGAAUGAACUCAGAGAACCCAAACAGAAGAAGAAGGCUGUCUAUCAAGCUGUCAAUCAUGUCUGGAGUCUAAGGCUCUUCAUCUCAUCAGCUCUCCUCCUCAUGCGGCCCCACUGCACACAACUUUCUACUCAAGCUCAUCCCUUUACUGUCCAAAUCUCUUACACACGAGUUAGGCUGGAUUCACACGAGUCACUUUUUAGUGGUCAGUGGCCGCCACAAAGUAAUGGUUAAAAUAGAACACACACAUCUCUAUGGGUGCAUGCACACAGGCCACUUUUUUGUGGUCGCCACAAAACAGUGGCGAGUUGUGGCGGCCGGAGCCAUUUUUCCGACCAUGACUGUGGCCGGCCACAGUGGCCAGGGAUAGAUACUGUGUUUCAAGUGGCAGCGUGCACACGAGCCACUAUCGGUGGCCACCACCCUGCCAUCCGCCACUUUCCCUCUGUCUUGACACUUGAACACCUGAAUUUUAACUGUCAUAAUGAUGUAUAAGUAUGGCCUUCACGCAUGACUUGUGUUCAGGAUAUAAUGGAUAAGCUCAUAUGCUUUCAGAACUAAUGUUUCAUUUAGUUUCACAGUUUUGCAUAUUAAUUGAUUCUGGUAUGGAUUAAUUACUGAAUGUGGUAGUUUUAUUUACACGGAAGUAGAAAAGAUUUGCCGCGCUGGGCUGAUAUGAUUUUCCACCAAAUUUAGUGAAGAACCCACUCAAUUGGCAAUCCUGUGUUGUGAGAAUUAGUGUUGAAACACUCUCAUAUGCGGGAGAUUUGAGUGCAGGUGGAGCUCGCAGCGAGUGUUUAGCGCCACCAGCAAAUACGCCUAACGCUCGCUGCGAGCUGUGACCUCCUGAAGUAAUAAAAAAAAAUAUAUUGUGUUCUUUUAGCUUUAUAUAUAAUGUGUGGAAUGCUACACGCAGUAGUCUGUUGCUAAGUAUAUAUGAGGUGAACUCAUGGCAGUACUUUCUUCAGCGCUUUUUGCCAAGAGAGCACAGACAGCUGCCGCCUCUACGAGAUCCAUAACGCCACGUACUGACAUCAUUAGUGGCUGCCACCAAGUGGCUCGUGUGCAUGGUGCACCUACCCACCAUUUUUCGUGGCAGCCAUUUUUAGUGGUGGCCACUGACCACUAAAAGUGUCUCGUGUGAACCCAGCCUUAACCAGCAUCUUCACUCUUUCAUACCCUCCUGCCUACCACUUGAACUCAUUCAAGAGGAAGGUAUCAGGACACCUCUUCUCACGUAAUUGACUGCUCUUUCGGCCACCUCUUCGGAUUCUUUACAGGAGCAGCGGGCUUUUUUUUAUUGUCGUUUCCCUUUUUUUGUGCCCUUGUGCUGUCUUCUUUGCUGUAA